RNA transcript from Oncorhynchus masou masou (cherry salmon), 1557 nucleotides. It is a transcript of the gene named arginine/serine-rich protein 1, with no coding region annotated. The record is from RefSeq and is a predicted model, not a curated record. The transcript has 4 exons. Lineage: Eukaryota; Metazoa; Chordata; Actinopteri; Salmoniformes; Salmonidae.
CAAGCAACAGACAGAUUUAUUUCAGCCGUUGAUACUUAGCUAGCUCGUUUAAAACUCGACGUUUUCAUCUUCAUUUAAUUCUAUAUUUAACCAUUUGCUAGGUUUCUCUACGAAAAUUGCAUUGAAACAUUUAAAUGUUAUGUCGAAAUUGAUUGAAUUUCAUUACAUAAUCUAGUUUAAGAGCAGAAUAGGAUUCCUAGCGCCGAGUGUACUGAAUUCAACAGAAAUUCGCAUUACGAUGCACACCAAGAAGACCGACAGGAAGGAUUCACAUGUUCAAAUGUCCCAGGCCCCUCUGAGUGAAGGGCUAAAUUUGAUCUUUGAUCAGGAUGCCCAAUCCAGCUCUUCCUGUUCUCGUUACCCAUCUAGAAGUAGUCAUACCAGUAGCCAGUCCUCUGGCUCUAGACGACAACUUAGGCGAAAUAAUGCUCGUAGGGGACGUCACAGGUCCUCCACCAGUUCUUCGUCCUCCAGAUCAUCCCACUCCUCCAACAGCAGCCCUCGGACCCGUCCCAGGUCCCGGUCACACCCGCGCUGCCACAGAGCCUCCUCCAGCUCACGCUGCUGCCGUCAACAUCAACAGGCCCGUGGACAUAGGCGCCACCGCUCACCAUCACGCAGUUACAGGGCUCACUCACGCUCCUACAGCCCUUCCUCUUCCCCAGACAGGCCAAACCGCCACAGUUCCCGCUCCAGGUCAGCCAGCUGGAGCAGGGUUCAUAGGGGGUUUGUGGGCAGGUACAAGUGCAGGUUUUCUGGAUCACCCAACAGAAGCCACAAGACCAACACGAGCCGCUCCACAUCUUCAGGACGCUCAUUUGUCAGCCUCCGUAUAGAGAAAAAGGGGGGACUCAGGACUACGAAUGCCACCCAGGCACUGGGGAUGGAGCAACUGGACCUUCCUGGGAGUGUGACUCCCAUCCUGGAGGAGCAGCAACUGAAAACCGGACUAGCCACACCAGAACCAGAGGAACGGGUGAGACCAGAGCCACUCCCUCAAAAGAGUCUAUCACAGGUGGGUGUUCAGGGAGAUUUGAUCAUGUUGAACAUACCGUCUAUGAACAUGACACACACAGAAGAAGCCUAGCAAUUGAAAUUGCUCAAAGUUCAGUUGUUGACGUCAUAACCGCACCACCUAGGCCAUUUUAAAACACAGUCUGGAGAUCUUUCCCUACCAUGUAGUCUGAACUUCAGGACUUCUGAUUCUGUCUUCUGUGAAACUGCUUGUCUGUUAACCUUGCACCUGUCAGAGAACACACUUGCUCUGUUUGUAUUUAUUCCUGUUUUUGUAGAUCUCAUGAGUUGUCUUCUCUCCACGGCCCCUCGGAUUAGGAGAAUAAGAGGGCAGUCAUGUGACUUGGGUGAUGUCAUUGCGUUUGCGUGAAAAGGUUAUCUGAUUAAUCUUAUCAUGCUCACAGUGCCAAUGCAAGUCCAGUAGCAGGAAUGGAUUGUUUUGUCCAGCAAUGCAGAGUCUCCCUCCUACUCUCUGAAGAAGCGCAGGCGUUUGGACUGCGUUAUUGUGACUAUUCCUGACAAGAGAACUUUAAACAGAUGGCC